AGUUGCAUUACCCUUUUAUACCAUCUUUUGUAUUUUGAUGGUUAUAAAUGUUUAAAUGAAAGUAUAUGAAUGAUGUAAAAGGAUUUAUGGUUUAAUGUAAAAGCUUAUCUUUUGGAGGAAAUACAUUAUGUUUAUUUUGGGGAUGUUGUGAUGUAUAAAAGAAAUGAUGCAAAGAAUGUAAAAGAAUUCUAUUAAAGUUGAACGCAUAUAUGUGAUUUAAACUUAAUCAUAUUACUUGUAUGAUGUUUAGUUAGUACUUUCACUUUGGCUAUUGCUUGUGUAAUAUACCGAAAAUUCGGAGAAUAAAUAUCGAACUUUAGUCAAAUUGACCAAAGUGCGAGGACGGAACACUUCGGAAAGUCCGAAGGUGUUAGAAUGAUUAAAAGGGAGUUGUGGA
RNAcentral lists this long non-coding RNA (397 nucleotides) under Ananas comosus (pineapple). RNAcentral's name for it is "long non-coding RNA (ACOM_LNC032763)". Lineage: Eukaryota; Viridiplantae; Streptophyta; Magnoliopsida; Poales; Bromeliaceae. The record is from RNAcentral.